This 200-nucleotide unclassified non-coding RNA is filed under the name Hevea brasiliensis (rubber tree). The record is from RNAcentral. Lineage: Eukaryota; Viridiplantae; Streptophyta; Magnoliopsida; Malpighiales; Euphorbiaceae.
UCGCCUUUCUUGAACUUGAAUUCGUUAACUAUUUUCAUCUCUUCGUAAUCGUCGAACACUCUCUUCUUCUCUGGGAUCCCUUCCAUUUCAUAAUUAUCGUCGAUGACCAUGUUAUCGACCCUCAUCUUUAUCGCCGCCUUGUCUUCUGCUUCUUCCAUUAACGACGCGACGCUGCUCUCAACAGCACCAAUAGAAUCAUU